AGUGAACGCUGGCGGUAGGCCUAACACAUGCAAGUCGAACGGCAGCACAGUAAGAGCUUGCUCUUACGGGUGGCGAGUGGCGGACGGGUGAGGAAUACAUCAGAAUCUACUUUUUCGUGGGGGAUAACGUAGGGAAACUUACGCUAAUACCGCAUACGACCUACGGGUGAAAGCAGGGGAUCUUCGGACCUUGCGCGAUUGAAUGAGCCGAUGUCGGAUUAGCUAGUUGGCGGGGUAAAGGCCCACCAAGGCGACGAUCCGUAGCUGGUCUGAGAGGAUGAUCAGCCACACUGGAACUGAGACACGGUCCAGACUCCUACGGGAGGCAGCAGUGGGGAAUAUUGGACAAUGGGCGCAGGCCUGAUCCAGCCAUACCGCGUGGGUGAAGAAGGCCUUCGGGUUGUAAAGCCCUUUUGUUGGGAAAGAAAAGCAGCAGGUUAAUACCCCGCUGUUCUGACGGUACCCAAAGAAUAAGCACCGGCUAACUUCGUG
RNAcentral lists this ribosomal RNA (492 nucleotides) under uncultured bacterium. RNAcentral describes it as "partial 16S ribosomal RNA". It matches the Rfam family "Bacterial small subunit ribosomal RNA", at positions 29 to 507 of the family's 1533-position model. The record is from RNAcentral.